Molecule: transfer RNA, 85 nt
Filed under: Candidatus Margulisiibacteriota bacterium
Lineage: Bacteria; Bacillati; Candidatus Margulisiibacteriota
Description: tRNA-Leu
Rfam family: tRNA
About the family: Transfer RNA (tRNA) molecules are approximately 80 nucleotides in length. Their secondary structure includes four short double-helical elements and three loops (D, anti-codon, and T loops).
Source: RNAcentral
GCCCGGGUGGCGGAAUUGGUAGACGCAAGGGACUUAAAAUCCCUCGGUUGAAUAAGCUGUGCCGGUUCGAGUCCGGCCCCGGGCA